This 413-nucleotide RNase P RNA is filed under the name Anaerolineales bacterium. RNAcentral's name for it is "RNase P RNA component class A". It matches the Rfam family "Bacterial RNase P class A". From Rfam's summary of the family: Ribonuclease P (RNase P) is a ubiquitous endoribonuclease, found in archaea, bacteria and eukarya as well as chloroplasts and mitochondria. Its best characterised activity is the generation of mature 5'-ends of tRNAs by cleaving the 5'-leader elements of precursor-tRNAs. Lineage: Bacteria; Bacillati; Chloroflexota; Anaerolineae; Anaerolineales. The record is from RNAcentral.
AGGGCUGGUCGGGCAAUCGCAGACAGAAGCUGCUUGCAGCGGCUGCCUGAGGAAAGUCCGCGCUCCACGGAGCACAGCGCCGGGUAACACCCGGGUGGCGAAAUCCACAGACAGGGCCACAGAAAAAAACCGCUCUGGCGGCUGAGGCCGUCAGAGUAAGGGUGAAAAGGUGGUGUAAGAGACCACCGGCGCCGGGAGCAAUCCAGGCGGCCAGGCAACCCUCGCUGGGAGCAAGGUCAAGCAGGAGUGGUGCCCAACAGGGCGGAAGCUGCUCGUUUCUCACACUCCGGGUGGACUGCUGGAGCCUGCUGGUAACAGCAGGUCAAGAAAGAUGGUUGCCCAGGCUGAGGAACGGCCGGAUCUCCGGUUGAUCCAAAGCUGGACAGAACGCGGCUUACAGACUGGCCCUCCCU